This 500-nucleotide ribosomal RNA is filed under the name uncultured bacterium. Its description in RNAcentral is "partial 16S ribosomal RNA". It matches the Rfam family "Bacterial small subunit ribosomal RNA", at positions 30 to 523 of the family's 1533-position model. The record is from RNAcentral.
AUUGAACGCUGGCGGAAUGCUUUACACAUGCAGGUCGAACGGCAGCACGGACUUCGGUCUGGUGGCGAGUGGCGAACGGGUGAGUAAUAUAUCGGAACGUGCCCAGUCGUGGGGGAUAACGUAGUGAAAAUUACGCUAAUACCGCAUACGAUCUAUGGAUGAAAGCGGGGGACCUUUGGGCCUCGCGCGAUUGGAGCGGCCGAUAUCAGAUUAGGUAGUUGGUGGGGUAAAGGCUCACCAAGCCAACGAUCUGUAGCUGGUCUGAGAGGACGACCAGCCACACUGGGACUGAGACACGGCCCAGACUCCUACGGGAGGCAGCAGUGGGGAAUUUUGGACAAUGGACGCAAGUCUGAUCCAGCCAUUCCGCGUGCAGGACGAAGGCCUUCGGGUUGUAAACUGCUUUUGUACAGAACGAAAAGGUUUCUACUAAUACUAGGAGCUCAUGACGGUACUGUAAGAAUAAGCACCGGCUAACUACGUGCCAGCAGCCGCAGUAA